RNAcentral lists this long non-coding RNA (352 nucleotides) under Vulpes vulpes (red fox). RNAcentral's name for it is "lncRNA (ENSVVUG00000024178.1)". Lineage: Eukaryota; Metazoa; Chordata; Mammalia; Carnivora; Canidae. The record is from RNAcentral.
UACAUUUCUUGUUUCAAAAAUAUUUUUUAAGAGUCUAUUUGUAUAAUUUUUGGCAUUCUAGAUGAAUAAGAUAUUACUUCUGCCUUGAGAAAGGAAGGAGUGAACUAAAGAGAAAUGAAUUGCCUUGGGAUUCCAUCUAUUAUAUUUAAGUGUGCCCUGAGUGUUAUAUACUCUUUGUUAAGAUACCCCUUAUGUCAUUGGAGAAGCUGGAAAAAGGAACAGUCCAAGGAAAAAAGUAUCUCCCUGCAUAUGGAAAGAGGAUCAGAUGGCAGAAAUAAAUUAUGAGAUCAGAAUCCUCAGUAAGCUAAAGGGAUAAUUAAGCUUACUUCUGUUUCCCAUCAUACCAAUUUGC